Molecule: non-coding RNA, 759 nt
Filed under: Phraortes sp. Iriomote Island
Lineage: Eukaryota; Metazoa; Arthropoda; Insecta; Phasmatodea; Lonchodidae
Source: RNAcentral
UUAAUUUUGUCAUUUACUGAUCAGUUUAAUUCUGGCUGUUUAUUUUAGUUUUAUAAACAUUUUAUACAUGUGAAUUUUGAAUAAUAUAUUUUAUUAUAGCAGUAUUUAAUAUUAAAUAUAAAGUAAAUUUUGAUUUGGUUAUUUAUUUUUAUAUUGUACAUGUUUGUGCCAGCAUACGCGGUUAUACAAUAAAUAUAAAUUAAAAUUUUUGGAUUAGUUUAGUUAAAAUUUUAAAUAAAAAAUUAAUAAUUUUAUUUUUAGGUGAAAUUUAAAUUUUGUUUAUUUUUUUUUUUGGUUCUGAUAAAUUUAAAAUUUAAACUAGGAUUAGAUACCCUAUUAUUUUAAAUAUAAUAUUUUCUAGGUAGUAAUAGUUUUAUUCUUUAAACCUAAAGAAUUUGGCGGUGUUUUAUUCUAUUCAGAGGAAUUUGUCCCGUGAUCGAUAAUCCUCGUUUUAUCUUGCUUUAUUUAAUUAAUAUGUAUAUCGCCGUUAUAAGUUUAUUUUUUAAAAAUAUUUACUUAGUAAUUUAUUUAUUUAUAUUUCAGGUCAAGGUGCAGUUUAUAAUAAAGUGGUGAUUAAUUACAAUAUUAUUAAUAAACGGAUAUAAUUUUUAUAAUAUUAUUGAAGGUGGAUUUGAUAGUAAUUUUGAUUAUAUUUUUAUUAUGAUUUUAGUUCUAAGAUGAGUACAUAUCGCCCGUCACUCUCAUUAUUGAGAUAAGUCGUAACAUAGUAAGUGUACUUGAAAGUGUACUUAGAUUUUU